CUGAGAUGGCGAAGCGCGUGCAAAGAUAUUUCCCACAAUCCCGCACGAGCGAAAAAUCCCAGCGAUGCCGGAAUCACAUGACUGGGGUGAGGCGAGGUUACCCGCGUGCCGGCUCUGCCCUCCGCUGCUGAGGGAACGUUGGAGAAUCCAUAGGAAAGGAGUCAGUUUAUGUUGAGAGUAAAAGUGAUGAUGAUUAUCUCAGGCGCUGUAAGAACAAAACCUGGAUGGAAUCACUAAACAGACAUGACACCAGUUAUACAACAAAACUGCUGGGGCUUGUUGUAAAAGAAAACAGGUUACUAAACAACUUGUAACCAAACAAAAAAUAUUUUAAAUUAAGCUAGACUUCUCUUGGGAAGAAAACCAGCUGCCAUGCUGCAGUCAGAGAUGAAUUUUCCAGAUGUUAAUCUUUUCCCCAUGUAGUGUUGGCAGUUUUCCAACAAUACUGAUUUUUCACUUCUCUCAGGAAAAGCUAUGUUAAUAAAUAUACACUACAAUUUAAAUCCA
Long non-coding RNA from Chrysemys picta bellii (western painted turtle), 507 nucleotides. RefSeq lists it as uncharacterized. NCBI's taxonomy places the organism in Eukaryota, Metazoa, Chordata, Testudines, Emydidae. The record is from RefSeq and is a predicted model, not a curated record.